UGUAUAUUAUAAUCCUUUUUACAAGGAUAAAAAUAGAUGUUUUUAACUUAUUUAUACAAUUUAUUAAUGUUAUAAUUCGUAUGGUAAAGUCUUUUCUAUGAUCUAUCCAAAUAUAUAAUAUGUGUGCCUAAUAUAUAUGUAAGUUUUUAAUUUAAUGUACAUAAUCUAGAUACAUUAAUGGGAAAAUUUCAUGUUUACCACUUUCAUUGUACCAUUUUUCAUCUUUACCACCAAUAAAUAGACAUUUUCAAAAAUAUAUUUUUAAUUAAGUGGCAAACGACUCUUAUACCCUUGUUCUAUAUAUAUAUAAUAAAUCACUAUUUAAAUAAAAAUUAAAAAAUAUGUUUUUGAAUUAUACUUUUUCAAAUUCGAACUUUUUUAUAAUUUUUUUUGUGAUUUUUUUUUGUAAAUUUUUUUUUCAAAUUUUUUUUUUCAAAUUGAAAAUUAUGUUUGAUGUAUUUGGUGUUAGGAGACAAGUUCCCAGAGAUCAAUCGGUUGGAUUUCGGUCCACCGAAUAUCCCGGAUCAACAAAAGAAAAGUUGAAAUAAUUUUUAAUUUUUAAUAUCUAUAUAAUAGAAUGAUAAUUUGAAAUUUAUUUAAUAAUAAAAAUAAUUUGUCUCUUUACAAUUGAAGAAGAAUGAAGGAAAAAUGUGUUUGAUAUUAUACUUCAAUUCUUAUAGAUGAUGUAAAUUUUGAAAUGUCAUGCUUUCUCUUAUUGUUACCUCUACAUGUGUUACCAACUGAAGCAUUAGUCACGCAACUAUAUUUGUUUUUCAUGUAGUACUAGGUGUUGUGCAUGCAUAUGCAGACAUAAUUUUUUUACGAAUAUUUAUUUUUUUAAAUCAAAUCAGUACAGUAAUACAAAUUUUUAGCCAAAUUAACUUUUCAAUUUACUAUAAGCGUAAUGAUUCAAUAUUUGAGAGGAUGCAUACUAAAAAGAGAGGAAUAGAUUUGAGCAUCAACAAUUCAUAUACGUCUAUUACAAUUUAGUGAUUUAUGUUUCCAAAAGAAUAUAAUUGUUUAUUUAUUUAAUUUAAUUUUUUUUUUAAUGUAAAGUUUUAUGAUCUAAUUGUGUUAAUAUGUUUGUUGAAUUUUUUUAUAUUUGAUUAAUAUAUUAAGUGUAUGUUCGAAUAACCUGUAAAAACUAUACUCAUAAAAAUAUCAAUAAUAACAUUUUCCAUCAUAUAUUAAAUAUUAAUAGUAGCUAACUAUUAAUAUAUAUAUUAAUUUUUAUUUAUAUUUAUAUAUAUGUACAUUUAAUUUUAAUACUUUAACUCCAAAAUUUAUAUUUUUAUAUAUUUGGUGAGAGUUUUGAAAUCUGGUUAACUUAAAAAAAAAUUAUUCUAAAUAAAACUAGUAAAUUCAAAUAUUUCCAGUUCUUAGAUAUUUUAAUUUCAAAUAACUAAUAUUAUCUAUAUAAAAAUAAUUUAAAUAUAUUGAUUAUUUGAAAUAUAAAUAUAAAUGUAUAAUUGUAGUUUCAAAAUUAAUAUUUUGAUUAUCGUUGCAAAAUUAAUUUGAUCCGUAUAUUCAAAUAUUUUUUAAAAUUUAAGUCUAUAUGUUAUUUAAUUAAAUUUCAGAUCAUAUAAUUUGGUUUUAAUUUAUUUAUUCAACAUACCAAAAAUUUAACUAAACUUAUUUGAAAAUCAAAAGCAUGAACUUUGCCAAAUCUAUAGUAUUUGUUUCUUAUUUUUUUUAGUAAAUUAAAGAAAUAAAUUUACUUAAAUUUAGAUAUAGAAGAUUUCUUUAAAAAUUCAGUACAUAUUGUUUAAAUAUAGAUUUUUCGGUUAUUGUUUAAAUAUAGAUUUUUUACCAAAACUUGAAGAUUUUUACCGAUAAAAUAGAUUUUUAUCUAAAUUAAAAAAAAAAGUAAAAUCUGAAUUUUCCUUUUCGAUGUUGUGGCAAGAGAGCGUGAGGACCACGUUCUGAGAUUCUUUGCGGGCCAUGAUAGACGCAUGACUCAUGCUCCAUUAAUGUUAAAAAUUGUCGAUACUUCUAAUAUGUCUCCCCAUAACAAUACUAUGCUAAUAUUCAUUUUCUUUAUAAAAUUAACACAGUAUAACGUAAAAUAAAAGAGUCAAAAACUGUUAUGGUUAGUUCUGUAAAAAACGGAAGGCACAUUAACUAUUUUAGUUGGUCAAUGAAUGUGAAUAGGCUAUAAAUUAGUAAAGAUUAACUUGCAGAAUAAUAUUAAAUUCCUAAUUGGUUGUUACAGAAAAAACUGAAUAUUUCAUUCCCAUUUUUGUCGCUCUUUCGUUUUGACCAUUACUAAAAAAAAAAAGGUGUAUAUCUAUACUAUACUAAAAGAAGAAUAAACUCCACAGCUAAGGUGUCCACAUCAGCAAAUUAAUUCGAGCCAAUCAGAUUCUAAAUAUAUGCCAUGUCAGCACGACCUUAAUCUUCCUUGCAAAUUUGUCGAUCAAAAUCCCAGAAACAGAUCAUUUGCUCACCCCGUUACAAUCUCUACAUCUCUUUUUCUCUCUUCUCCGAGCUUCUCCGUUGGGUGAACGACUACUGUUGAAUUGAUUUCUUCCUUUCGAUUCGAUUCUCUCUACCGAUUACUAAGGUUCUCUCUCUCUCCAUAGAUCAUCUCUCCUUUGUUUAUCCGCGAACGUAUCUCUCUAUUCUGAGCAGUUAGAUAGCCACCUUCUUUCUCUUCUCUUCUAAUUUAGUCUUUUGAUAGAUCUGAUUGAGAUUUUUUGAGGGUUUCAUCUUUCCAGCUUAUGGGUUUCGAUAAAGCCUCUUCCUUUACUUACGAUCACCCAUCUGCUAUUGGUUCAUCAAUGGCUGUUGAGAAAGGUUGGUCGUGACUGAAGCUUGACUCCGGAGAUGAAGAACUCGCCGUGAAAGCUUGGUCGCGGUAAAGCUCCGAGAUGGUGAGGUUGAAGACGACUCGACAGAGACGAAGCUUUCACUGAGAAGAGCACGGCUUGACGAAGCGGGUAAGAAACAUCGGGUUGGAGCGACGAAGCCUAACCGUUCGUUCCAGUUUCGAAUCAUCACAAGUGCUGGAGCGGGCAACGCACAGCGGGUUGAUGAAGUGGCCGUACCAUGAGCGUGCGCUGGAGCAGGUGGUGCUAGCGAGGAGAAGAAACCGCUCGGGACCUCAAACAAACUCGAAGCUGCACAGCAGCUUCUCAAAACAGGCUGAUGAAACCGCUGUGGUCAUUGCACUGCUCGGAGCAGCUUAGUGGAGCGAGGAGAAGAGGCCGCUCGCUUUGGUGAUCGUUGUGGAAUUUGCCAGGUUCAUUCUUAUCAAGGAUAAUGAGUAACAGGAGCAGCAGCAAUCGUUUUGAUUAUUUAAAGUUGCAAGCUUUUUUCUAGAUUUAGGACAAACUUUCAGUUAUGAGUGCAUCAUGGGCAGAUGUGGCUGACUCUGAGAAGGCUGCUUCCAGGGCAAAGCCUGCUUAUGUUCCCACACAUCUAAGGAACAUGCAGUCUGAGCCUGUUGCUACUUUGCCACAAAAUGAUCGUCCGGGGUAUGGUGGUCAACCGUCUAGAUGGGCUCCUGGAGGUGGAGUUGGUGGAGGCGGUGGCUACAGGAAUGAUGUAGGGAGGACGAGUAAGUGGUGGUGGUGGCUGGAACAACAGAGGUGGAGGAUGGGACCGUGAAGUUAAUCCGUUUGGAGAUGAUGCUGAUUUAGAACCUGCCGUUCAGGAGAAUACUGGCAUUAAUUUUGAUGCUUAUGAAGAUAUUCCCAUCGAGACCAGUUGAGGAUACGUGCCUCCUCCUGUUAACACUUUUGCUGACAUUGAUUUUGGGGAGGCGUUGAAUCUCAACAUCAGGAGGUGUAAGUACGUGAGGACAACACCUGUACAGCGUCACGCCAUUCCGAUACUUCUUGCAGAGAGGGAUUGAUGGCAUGUGCUUAGACAGGGUCUGUGAAGACUGCUGCCUUUUGCUUUCCGAUAAUUAGUGGAAUCAUGAGAGAUCAGCACCUUCAGAGACCUCGUGGUUCACGGACCGUUUACCCUCUUGCAAUUAUCCUCUCACCAACAAGGGAGCUGGCAUCUCAGAUUCAUGAAGCGAAAACAUUCACAUGCCAAACUGGUGUGAAGGUCAUUGUUGCUUACGGAGGAACACCUAUUAACCAGCAGGUAAUUAUCAUGCACAUGUAAUUUUUCUUUCUUGGUUGUCCACCUUUGUCUUUGGAUAUUGUUUUAUGUUUUAUAGGGGUGUUGUCUAUUUUAAGUUAAUAGCAGCUUACGGCUUACUGGUUUGGGGUCUGCUAGCUCUAUUCUUCCUUAUAUCAGUCUCAUUUUUGAAAUUAUGUUUUGAUUUUGAAGUCAGCAGUGCAUGAUUAAUAUUGUAUCGUACAUAACAUCAUGUUUAACGUGAUCCUCAUCCUCUUCA
This is a long non-coding RNA of Brassica napus (rape), 4351 nucleotides long. RefSeq lists it as uncharacterized. The transcript has 2 exons. The record is from RefSeq and is a predicted model, not a curated record. NCBI's taxonomy places the organism in Eukaryota, Viridiplantae, Streptophyta, Magnoliopsida, Brassicales, Brassicaceae.